GGAAUAUUGCGCAAUGGGCGAAAGCCUGACGCAGCGACGCCGCGUGGGUGAUGAAGGUCUUCGGAUCGUAAAGCCCUUUUCUGCGUGACGAGAGAGGACGGUAGCGCAGGAAAAAGUGUCGGCUAACUACGUGCCCGCAGCCGCGGUAAAACGUAGGACGCAAACGUUAUCCGGAAUUACUGGGCGUAAAGGGCGCGCAGGCGGUAGGGUAAGUGAGGCAUGAAAGCUCCCUGGCUAAACCGGGAGAGGUUGUCUGAGACUGCCCAACUGGAGUAAGGUAGAGGGAUGUGGAAUUCCGCGUGUAGUGGUGAAAUGCGUAGAGAUGCGGAGGAACACCAGUGGCGAAGGCGGCAUCCUGGACCUUAACUGACGCUGAGGCGCGAAAGCAUGGGUAGCG
Molecule: ribosomal RNA, 397 nt
Filed under: uncultured bacterium
Lineage: Bacteria
Description: bacterial SSU rRNA
Rfam family: Bacterial small subunit ribosomal RNA
Source: RNAcentral